Molecule: ribosomal RNA, 478 nt
Filed under: uncultured bacterium
Lineage: Bacteria
Description: partial 16S ribosomal RNA
Rfam family: Bacterial small subunit ribosomal RNA
Source: RNAcentral
GACGAACGCUGGCGGCGUGCUUAACACAUGCAAGUCGAACGUGAUUUUUGUGGAAAUUCUUUCGGGAAUGGAAAUGAAAUGAAAGUUGCGAACGGGUGAGUAACACGUGAGCAACCUACCUUACACAGGGGGAUAGCCGUUGGAAACGACGAUUAAUACCGCAUGAGACCACAGAAUCGCAUGAUAUAGGGGUCAAAGAUUUAUCGGUGUAGGAAGGGCUCGCGUCUGAUUAGCUAGUUGGAAGGGUAAAGGCCUACCAAGGCGACGAUCAGUAGCCGGUAGGGGAGGAUGAACGGCCAGAUUGGAGCUGAGACACGGUCCAAACUCCUACGGGAGGCAGCAGUGGGGAAUAUUGCACAAUGGGGGGAACCCUGAUGCAGCGACGCCGCGUGAGCGAAGAAGGUUUUCGAAUCGUAAAGCUCUGUCCUAUGAGAAGAUAAUGACGGUAUCAUAGGAGGAAGCCCCGGCUAAAUACGUG